Molecule: microRNA, 22 nt
Filed under: Cordylochernes scorpioides
Lineage: Eukaryota; Metazoa; Arthropoda; Arachnida; Pseudoscorpiones; Chernetidae
Source: RNAcentral
GUUGGAAGGGUUGAUUCUGACA